GCCUGAUGGAGGGGGAUAACUACUGGAAACGGUAGCUAAUACCGCAUAAUGUCGCAAGACCAAAGAGGGGGACCUUCGGGCCUCUUGCCAUCGGAUGUGCCCAGAUGGGAUUAGCUUGUUGGUGGGGUAACGGCUCACCAAGGCGACGAUCCCUAGCUGGUCUGAGAGGAUGACCAGCCACACUGGAACUGAGACACGGUCCAGACUCCUACGGGAGGCAGCAGUGGGGAAUAUUGCACAAUGGGCGCAAGCCUGAUGCAGCCAUGCCGCGUGUAUGAAGAAGGCCUUCGGGUUGUAAAGUACUUUCAGCGGGGAGGAAGGGAGUAAAGUUAAUACCUUUGCUCAUUGACGUUACCCGCAGAAGAAGCACCGGCUAACUCCGUGCCAGCAGCCGCGGUAAUACGGAGGGUGCAAGCGUUAAUCGGAAUUACUGGGCGUAAAGCGCACGCAGGCGGUUUGUUAAGUCAGAUGUGAAAUCCCCGGGCUCAACCUGGGAACUGCAUCUGAUACUGGCAAGCUUGAGUCUCGUAGAGGGGGGUAGAAUUCCAGGUGUAGCGGUGAAAUGCGUAGAGAUCUGGAGGAAUACCGGUGGCGAAGGCGGCCCCCUGGACGAAGACUGACGCUCAGGUGCGAAAGCGUGGGGAGCAAACAGGAUUAGAUACCCUGGUAGUCCACGCCGUAAACGAUGUCGACUUGGAGGUUGUGCCCUUGAGGCGUGGCUUCCGGAGCUAACGCGUUAAGUCGACCGCCUGGGGAGUACGGCCGCAAGGUUAAAACUCAAAUGAAUUGACGGGGGCCCGCACAAGCGGUGGAGCAUGUGGUUUAAUUCGAUGCAACGCGAAGAACCUUACCUGGUCUUGACAUCCACAGAACUUUCCAGAGAUGGAUUGGUGCCUUCGGGAACUGUGAGACAGGUGCUGCAUGGCUGUCGUCAGCUCGUGUUGUGAAAUGUUGGGUUAAGUCCCGCAACGAGCGCAACCCUUAUCCUUUGUUGCCAGCGGUCCGGCCGGGAACUCAAAGGAGACUGCCAGUGAUAAACUGGAGGAAGGUGGGGAUGACGUCAAGUCAUCAUGGCCCUUACGACCAGGGCUACACACGUGCUACAAUGGCGCAUACAAAGAGAAGCGACCUCGCGAGAGCAAGCGGACCUCAUAAAGUGCGUCGUAGUCCGGAUUGGAGUCUGCAACUCGACUCCAUGAAGUCGGAAUCGCUAGUAAUCGUGGAUCAGAAUGCCACGGUGAAUACGUUCCCGGGCCUUGUACACACCGCCCGUCACACCAUGGGAGUGGGUUGCAAAAGAAGUAGGUAGCUUAACCUUCGGGAGGGCGCUUACCACUUUGUGAUUCAUGACUGGGGUGAAGUCGUAACAAGGUAACCGUAGGGGAACCUGCGGUUGGAUCACCUCCUUACCUUAAAGAAGC
This 1421-nucleotide ribosomal RNA is filed under the name Escherichia coli. Its description in RNAcentral is "bacterial SSU rRNA". It matches the Rfam family "Bacterial small subunit ribosomal RNA". The record is from RNAcentral. Lineage: Bacteria; Pseudomonadati; Pseudomonadota; Gammaproteobacteria; Enterobacterales; Enterobacteriaceae.